GUUCCGUAGGUGAACCUGCGGAAGGAUCAUUAACGAUUUUGACCCUUCGGGGUCGAUCUCCAACCCUUUGUCUACCUUCCUUGUUGCUUUGGCGGGCCGUUGUUCGCUCUCACGAGCGACACCGCUGGCUUGACAGCUAGUGAGCGCCCGCCAGAGUCCAUCAAAACUCUGAUUCAAACCUACAGUCUGAGUAUAUAUUUUAAUAAAUUAAAACUUUCAACAACGGAUCUCUUGGUUCUGGCAUCGAUGAAGAACGCAGCGAAAUGCGAUAAGUAAUGUGAAUUGCAGAAUUCAGUGAAUCAUCGAAUCUUUGAACGCACAUUGCGCCCCUUGGUAUUCCGAGGGGCAUGCCUGUUCGAGCGUCAUUUCACCACUCAAGCUCAGCUUGGUAUUGGGUCAUCGUCUGGUCAAACAGGCGUACCUGAAAAUCAGUGGCGGUGCCCAUCCGGCUUCAAGCAUAGUAACUUUUAUCUUGCUUUGGAAGUUCCGGAGGGUUACACCUGCCAACAACCCCAAUUUUUUCAAUGAUUGACCUCGGAUCAGGUAGGAAUACCCGCUGAACUUAAGCAUAUCAAUAAGCGG
RNAcentral lists this ribosomal RNA (582 nucleotides) under Coniochaeta sp. Its description in RNAcentral is "eukaryotic LSU rRNA". The stretch from base 212 to 365 matches the Rfam family "5.8S ribosomal RNA". The record is from RNAcentral. Lineage: Eukaryota; Fungi; Ascomycota; Sordariomycetes; Coniochaetales; Coniochaetaceae.